Molecule: unclassified non-coding RNA, 298 nt
Filed under: uncultured bacterium
Lineage: Bacteria
Description: partial contains 16S ribosomal RNA and 16S-23S ribosomal RNA intergenic spacer region
Rfam family: Bacterial small subunit ribosomal RNA
Source: RNAcentral
AUCGAUGGGAGCUUGCUCCCUGAGAUUAGCGGCGGACGGGUGAGUAACACGUGGGUAACCUGCCUGUAAGACUGGGAUAACUUCGGGAAACCGGAGCUAAUACCGGAUAGGUUCUUUUCUCGCAUGAGGGAAGAUGGAAAGAUGGUUUCGGCUAUCACUUACAGAUGGACCCGCGGCGCAUUAGCUAGUUGGUGAGGUAAUGGCUCACCAAGGCAACGAUGCGUAGCCGACCUGAGAGGGUGAUCGGCCACACUGGGACUGAGACACGGCCCAGACUCCUACGGGAGGCAGCAGUGGG